GGAAUCUUCGGCAAUGGACGAAAGUCUGACCGAGCAACGCCGCGUGAGCGAAGAAGGCCUUCGGGUCGUAAAGCUCUGUUGUUAGAGAAGAACAUGGGUGAGAGUAACUGUUCACCCCUUGACGGUAUCUAACCAGAAAGCCACGGCUAACUACGUGCCAGCAGCCGCGGUAAUACGUAGGUGGCAAGCGUUGUCCGGAAUUAUUGGGCGUAAAGCGCGCGCAGGCGGUCUCUUAAGUCUGAUGUGAAAGCCCCCGGCUCAACCGGGGAGGGUCAUUGGAAACUGGGAGACUUGAGGACAGAAGAGGAGAGUGGAAUUCCAAGUGUAGCGGUGAAAUGCGUAGAUAUUUGGAGGAACACCAGUGGCGAAGGCGGCUCUCUGGUCUGUUACUGACGCUGAGGCGCGAAAGCGUGGGGAGCAAACAGGAUUAGAUACCCCUG
This 440-nucleotide ribosomal RNA is filed under the name uncultured Brochothrix sp. RNAcentral's name for it is "bacterial SSU rRNA". It matches the Rfam family "Bacterial small subunit ribosomal RNA", at positions 358 to 789 of the family's 1533-position model. Lineage: Bacteria; Bacillati; Bacillota; Bacilli; Caryophanales; Listeriaceae. The record is from RNAcentral.